This 426-nucleotide ribosomal RNA is filed under the name uncultured bacterium. RNAcentral describes it as "bacterial SSU rRNA". It matches the Rfam family "Bacterial small subunit ribosomal RNA", at positions 376 to 793 of the family's 1533-position model. The record is from RNAcentral.
CGCAAGCCUGAUGCAGCCAUGCCGCGUGUAUGAAGUAAGGCCUUCGGGUUGUAAAGGUACUUUCAGCAGUGAGGAAGGUGGGUAUGUUAAUAGCAUAUUCAUUUGACGUUAGCUGCAGAAGAAGCACCGGCUAACUCCGUGCCAGCAGCCGCGGUAAUACGGAGGGUGCGAGCGUUAAUCGGAAUUACUGGGCGUAAAGCGCAUGCAGGUGGUUUGUUAAGUCAGAUGUGAAAGCCCGGGGCUCAACCUCGGAAUUGCAUUUGAAACUGGCAAACUAGAGUACUGUAGAGGGGGUAGAAUUUCAGGUGUAGCGGUGAAAUGCGUAGAGAUCUGAAGGAAUACCGGUGGCGAAGGCGGCCCCCUGGACAGAUACUGACACUCAGAUGCGAAAGCGUGGGGAGCAAACAGGAUUAGAUACCCUGGUAG